RNAcentral lists this ribosomal RNA (255 nucleotides) under uncultured bacterium. RNAcentral's name for it is "partial 16S ribosomal RNA". It matches the Rfam family "Bacterial small subunit ribosomal RNA", at positions 524 to 776 of the family's 1533-position model. The record is from RNAcentral.
UACGUAGGCAGCAAGCGUUGUUCGGAGUUACUGGGCGUAAAGGGUGUGUAGGCGGUUUUUUUAAGUUUGGUGUGAAAUCUCCCCGGCUCAACUGGGAGGGUGCGCCGAAUACUGAAAGACUAGAGUGCGGGAGAGGAAAGUGGAAUUCCUGGUGUAGCGGUGAAAUGCGUAGAUAUCAGGAGGAACACCGGUGGUGUAGACGGCUUUCUGGACCGUAACUGACGCUGAGACACGAAAGCGUGGGUAGCAAACAGG